This 1246-nucleotide ribosomal RNA is filed under the name metagenome. RNAcentral describes it as "bacterial LSU rRNA". It matches the Rfam family "Bacterial large subunit ribosomal RNA", at positions 1630 to 2864 of the family's 2925-position model. The record is from RNAcentral.
CCAAAGAAUCGACCGUACCGCAAACCGACACAGGUGGGCAGGUUGAAAAUACCAAGGCGCUUGAGAGAACUCGGGAGAAGGAACUCGGCAAAUUGAUACCGUAACUUCGGGAGAAGGUAUGCCCCGGUAGCUUGUAGGAGUACAUCCGAAGGGCGAUGGGGCCGCAGAGAAUCGGUGGCUGCGACUGUUUAUUAAAAACACAGCACUCUGCAAACACGAAAGUGGACGUAUAGGGUGUGACGCCUGCCCGGUGCCGGAAGGUUAAGUGAUGGGGUGCAAGCUCUUGAUCGAAGCCCCGGUAAACGGCGGCCGUAACUAUAACGGUCCUAAGGUAGCGAAAUUCCUUGUCGGGUAAGUUCCGACCUGCACGAAUGGCGUAACGAUGGCCACACUGUCUCCUCCCGAGACUCAGCGAAGUUGAAAUGUUUGUGAAGAUGCAAUCACCCCGCGGCUAGACGGAAAGACCCCAUGAACCUUUACUGUAGCUUUGCAUUGGACUUUGACGGGACUUGUGUAGGAUAGGUGGGAGGCUUUGAAGCCAGGACGCUAGUUCUGGUGGAGCCAACCUUGAAAUACCACCCUGGUGUCGUUGAGGUUCUAACCUUGGUCCGUGAAUCCGGAUCGGGGACCGUGCAUGGUAGGCAGUUUGACUGGGGCGGUCUCCUCCCAAAGAGUAACGGAGGAGUACGAAGGUCUUCUAGGUACGGUCGGACAUCGUACUGAUAGUGCAAUGGCAAAAGAAGGCUUGACUGCGAGACCCACAAGUCGAGCAGGUGCGAAAGCAGGUCAUAGUGAUCCGGUGGUUCUGUAUGGAAGGGCCAUCGCUCAACGGAUAAAAGGUACUCUGGGGAUAACAGGCUGAUUCCGCCCAAGAGUUCACAUCGACGGCGGAGUUUGGCACCUCGAUGUCGGCUCAUCACAUCCUGGGGCUGUAGCCGGUCCCAAGGGUAUGGCUGUUCGCCAUUUAAAGUGGUACGCGAGCUGGGUUUAAAACGUCGUGAGACAGUUUGGUCCCUAUCUGCCGUGGGCGUUGGAAGUUUGAGGGGACCUGCUCCUAGUACGAGAGGACCGGAGUGGACGAAUCUCUGGUGUACCGGUUGUCACGCCAGUGGCAUUGCCGGGUAGCUAAAUUCGGAAGAGAUAACCGCUGAAAGCAUCUAAGCGGGAAACUCGCCUCAAGAUGAGACUUCCCUGGGGAUUCAAUCCCCCUGAAGGGUCGUUCAAGACCAGGACGUUGAUAGGUCAA